Long non-coding RNA from Eufriesea mexicana, 1344 nucleotides. RefSeq lists it as uncharacterized. Lineage: Eukaryota; Metazoa; Arthropoda; Insecta; Hymenoptera; Apidae. The transcript is spliced from 3 exons. The record is from RefSeq and is a predicted model, not a curated record.
CGCAAAAUGGACGUAGAAAAAUAUAAAAAUGCGUGCUUGGAUAUAACAAUCAUGUCAUCGUACGUAACGUAAUCAGAAAUACUGCCUGUACCUGUUAUGUUCCUUUGAUAUUUCCCAUCGAUCAUUCACCUUGAGCUUGACCUUGGGUGUGUCCUCAACAUAAGUAGUACGACGAUAAUCGUGUCGAACGAGCCCUGACCUAACCUAUUCUAGGCUAUGUCUUGGUUCUUUAUAUACAGACAAAGCCUAGGAGAGGCUAAAUCAAGUUACUCUGUCCUUUAAGAAUGGAUAUCACGUGGUCAUCUUGUAAGUAUCUUACAGCGCGAAUUUGUCUCAUGUAACUUUCCAUGUAUGUUAUAUUUCAGGUGACUGUUUUGUGGAAAUAACCUCUCAGGUAGAAAUGUCCUCGGAAAACUUCAAUGCGAGAACUAGCAGAGACGUGGAGACUUCAACGACCGCACGUGCAAUGUUCGACUAGCACGAUUACAUAAAGUCGAGACUAUCGAAUCGAGGGAGUGAUUAUUUCGUAUUUCCGGUUGUCUCACUUUUUCCUAAGACAUCCAUGCGCUAUGAAGUAAAGCUGUUCCAUCGUUGUAUUCAAGAAUAAAUGAAAUACCGUCCAUGUCGAUGUUUCGUCACGGUUAUAACGUACACGGCCGCUCAACCGGAUCCUGAACGUUCACCAGAGGGAAAACCUUUUUAUUUAUCUGGAAUCGAAGCUGUUUAGUCGUUUCACACCGAAUAAGCUCGUAAAUAUUAACGUAUUGACUCUACUGCACUCGUGGCAGAACUCUUGCACGUCCUAUAUCCACGAAAUCGAACAGAAUUGCUAACAAAUUUCCAUUUAAAUCAACGUCACGCCAAUCAAGAUUCGCAAAUGCAUUGUGUUCGUUGUGAAAUCUUUUCAACCAUCCUGGAUUUUCCCGCGUGUCAUCGCACAUUACACUGGUAUCAGGAGCGUCACAGAUAGGUACGCGAAACGGAAAGGAAAAUAGUCAUCCGUGCGCUGACCGGAAGAAGUUUAUGACGAAGUCGGAAAAGACAACGAAAACUCACGUGUCUCUCGAAAGGUAAAGUGCAAGGAAGCGGCUAACGAAAACGGUGAUUGGUAUACGUGGCACCGGAUUGGCCGCUGGCAUACCUUGACGACACGCACAGUGUGUGCGCACAUCGGCAACCUGUGCACCCACUAACCACUAACCGCUGAACCACGGGAGGCCAAGGUGUGCGCGCGCCAGGAUAAUAUAUGUAUCUACGUGCGUUAACCACGUGAGAGCGACCAGCAUCUUUCCACGGGGCCUCUCUGGUGGGGACUUAACCUAUGGACUGCUCUUUGUCUCUGUC